AUGGCGCCAACUAAGGACGCCGAGCCGCCGCUGCACAUCCUCUUCUUCCCUUUCCUCCUUCCUGGCCACCUUAUCCCGAUGGCCGACAUGGCCGCGCUCUUCGCCGCUCGCGGCGUCAGGUGCACCGUCCUCACCACGCCCGUCCAAGCCUCCACCAUCCGCUCCGUCGUCGAUCGCGCGAACGGCAGCAGCGCCGCCGGCACCCCGAUGUCCAUCUCCGUCGUGCCUUUCCCCGACGUUGGGCUCCCGAUGGCCGCACAGAGCGGGAGGGACCUUGCUACCUCCAGGGACUACCACGACAGGUUCCUCCAGACGGUGGAGCUGCUCCGGGAGCCCUUCUGCCGGUUCCUGUCCGACCACCACGCCGACAUCGACGCCGUGGUCUCCGACAGCCUCUUCCACUGGUCCGCUCACGCCACCGCCGAGCACGGCCUCCCGCGCAUCGCGUUCCUCGCCACCAGCAUGUUCGCCCGUGCCUGCACCGACACCGUGCUCCGGAGCAACGUGUUUGAGUCGUGCUCUGACGACCACGGUGCCGUCGUAUCCCUGCCGGGGCUGCCGCACCGUGUCGAGCAGCGGCGGAGCCAGAUGAUGGACCCUGCAAAGCGGCCACAUGAGUGGGCUAUGUUCCAGCUCAUCCACGCCGCGGACCGGUCGAGCUACGGCGAGCUCUUCAAUAGCUUCCGCGUGCUGGAGCCGGGCUACGCCGAGCAUUAUCGUGCCACGCAGCUCCGCCGCCGCGCGUGGCUUGUCGGGCCGGUGGCGCUCGCAAGCGGCAGCCUCGAGGAUGUGGCGUCAAGAGGCGCCGUCGCCGGCGCGCUCUCGCCGGACGCCGCCGUGUGCCUGCGGUGGCUCGACGCCAAACUGGCCAGCUCGGUGGUGUACGUCUCCUUCGGCACGAUGACCAACUUUUCGCCAGAGCAGAUGCGGGAGCUCGCCCGCGGCCUCGACCUCUCCGGCAAGAACUUCGUGUGGGUCAUUGCCAAGGGCUCCACCGCCGCAUCUUCUGACCCGUCUACGCCAGACGGGUUCCCAACGGCAAACCGUGGGUACAUCGUCCGAGGAUGGGCGCCGCAGGUGCUCAUCCUGAACCACCCUGCCGUCGGCGGGUUCGUGACGCACUGCGGGUGGAACUCGACGCUGGAGGCCGUGAGCGCCGGCGUGCCGAUGGUGACGUGGCCGCGGUACGCCGACCAGUUCUACAACGAGAAACUCGUGGUUGAGGUGCUCGGCGUGGGUGUGGGCGUCGGCGCCGAAGACUACGCGUCGUGCCUGGAGACCCACCGGGUGAUCGCUGGCGAGGCGAUCGCGGAAUCCAUCCGGAGAGUGAUGGGGGAGGAGGGCGACGGCGCCGCCAUGCGGAAGAAGGCCAAGGAGCUCGGGGUGAUGCCGAGGGGCGCGGUGGAGAAGGGCGGGUCGUCGUACGACGAUGUAGGGCAGCUCAUGGAGGAGUUGAUCGCCCGCCGGAGUUCCGUCGGAUGUACCGCCGAUGGGUAA
Molecule: ribosomal RNA, 1497 nt
Filed under: Triticum aestivum (bread wheat)
Lineage: Eukaryota; Viridiplantae; Streptophyta; Magnoliopsida; Poales; Poaceae
Description: partial small subunit ribosomal RNA
Source: RNAcentral